GCAAUUUACCGUUGCCGUUUUAGCUCGACCCAAGCCUAACAAACCAAAUUCCGCAAAUCUCUCAAUCGGACGCUGUAACCUCGUCGUAAUCCAAAACGAAGUUGUCCUCCGCGUCGAAUUAUCCUUCAAUUAAGGUUUUACAAGAUCAAUUUGAUUCAAAACCUCUUAGAGACAAAAGCCUCAAUUCUAACCCUAGAUUCAUGAAUCCUCAAGAACACCAAAAUCCAUAAUAAACCUUUAACCAAUCU
This 248-nucleotide long non-coding RNA is filed under the name Ananas comosus (pineapple). RNAcentral's name for it is "long non-coding RNA (ACOM_LNC001020)". The record is from RNAcentral. Lineage: Eukaryota; Viridiplantae; Streptophyta; Magnoliopsida; Poales; Bromeliaceae.